AAAGGAAUUAUAAACAUUCCUCCGUUCAGCAACUUAGCGACUAGCUAGGGUUUACUCCCAUUCUCAACCUUUUCUCAAUCUUUAUCAUUUUUACAACUUUGUUCCACGAUUUGAUUGAAAGUUCUUCUUGAUUUCUUGGUCACGAUUUAUAUUAAUACUCUUCUUAUAUGAUUCUCGUUGUUUCAUGAGUUAUUGAUUUGGAAAUUUUUAUAUAUGUUUUUUGACGUUGUGGUAUUGUGCGAUUGAGUUAAUUCCAUGGAGAGGUCGUAUCAUUAAAUUUUUGGAAAGAAAAUCUAGUGUAUUCACUCCAGAUCCAAUAUUGUUCAAGGAGACUUAACAUUAACUUGAAAUUCUGAGUUUGCUUUACCUAAUUUUAUUUUCUUUUGUUUGCGUUGUAUAUGGAUGUAUGUGUUUGAUUUUUUUUAGCGACUAACAUACUUUUUUAUUGCUUCUCCAGUGGUGAAAUUUUUAACGGAACAUUUGAAGGAAAAAUAUUAUCAAAUUGGUGAUAACUUCAUUAAUGCUAUCUAUUGCGUUAAGAUGGUGAGCUGUAUCUAUGUUCAGGGACUUGAGGUAAUCAAUCAUAAAAUUUUAUUCCUUAGAUGUUUGAAACCUAUGAAUGGUUGAGGUGGUAAAUUUUAUGUUUUUGGCAAUUGUGGAUUUGAAGAUAAUUUUUGUGUAGUUUUAUAAAUAUAUUAUGCUAAAUUGGUGUCUUGGAGUUAGAAAAUUUGAUUCAUAUCCUGUAUUCAAUAGACGACAAACAUCUUUUAAAGUAGAUAUCGUCACUGGUGAAUUCAUAAUUGAUGUUAAUUGGUGCAUAGACCUCUUUGUUUUUUUUUCCAACUAGAAAGAGGAAAGGCCAAUCUCCUGUUAGCAAAAAAGGAACUUGCCAAUAACUUAUAUUCUGUCAAGGCUUUCAAUUUUUCCUAGUAAUUAAAUUAAAAACAAUGGAUAAAAGCAACACUAAGUUCAAAAGUAAUUGUUUCACUAAACAAUCUGCACUGUCUAUAUAUACAUUUUGUAUGCAUAUAUAAGAAGAAACAACACUAUCUCCACUUACUUAGACCAUAUACUUUUCAAUCCCACUUUUCAGAGAACAAGUUUUGAAGUUGUUGGAGUGUUGUCAAGCCCCAUUGCCCAACUAAAUUCGUUAGCAAAUUCAACAUGUUUGUACUUGUCCUUAAUGAUAGACCUAUUGGUAUUAUAGUAACCAAGCCAUGUCUGGUAUGUAAAUUCCUUGCUUUAUAUCUAAUAUAGAAUAACACAUGUUCCACCUCUUUUUGGCCUCUGGAUCUAGCAGAGAUAAAGGUGCAUUUGAUAUGGGCAAAUCUUUAAUCAUAGAAAUAGAUGAAGAGGCCUUUUUUAUAUGGGAAAAUCUUGGAUAUAUAUUCUUAUCUUAUGAUAACUUAAAUAUUUAAGUAAGUCUUGUUUUUUGAUUGUUGUUUUGUAUGCAUCUAAAGUUUAGUAAAGGAAAUAUGAAACUCUCUAGCUAUGCUCCAACUUAAGGUGUAGUAUCGAUAAACAUCGUUUCAGAAAUUUUUUGAACUGCAACCUUACAGAAAGUCAAACAAUUAGGAUUGGUGAAGAACUGAAGAUUAUGUUAUUGCUAGCUGAUGAGUCAAUGAUCUCAAGUUUAAAUUUCCAUUAGUUCAUGGAUGCAUGCAGUAUCUUAUUCCCUUAUUUUUUAUCAUUUAAACUUUUAAUUAUCAGUUUUAUCAUUACGCGUGACACAUCUGGGAGGAGGGGGUGGUGCCAGAAGAUGACAGUUGAAUACACUUGUGAAGUGUAUUUCCUUCUGUUGUUUCUCAUACGCUUUCACUUGCACGUGUAUGGGUAUGUAUAUUUUAUGCUUAACUGUCAGCAGCUUGAGAAUAACUUUUUGAGUAUUUGUAAUACUGACGCUACAAAUAUUUUGCAGACAUUAAUAUGCAGAUUGACUGGUUUACUAUUGAUACCUAGAAUCCAUAACUAGAUAAAACUCUAAUGUUGUAGUUGUAUCUAGUGUAAGAAUCUAAUGCAACACAAUAUCAGUUUCGAAGAUGUGAUUGGAUCGUAGAAUCUGUUUUUUUCUCUAAAGUUUUAUCAUUUGUUGGUAAAAGAAAAAGUCUAGCUUUGAUGCUAACCCUUGUACUUUUAAGUUGUGUUCGACUACUGAACGUAAUUUCUUUUAAAUAUUUCAGUUGGUCAUCUUAGUGGUGACUUCUAUUUGAAAUGAGCAUUACUAAGAGGUUAUGCUAAGACAGGGACCAUGAACAAGAUUUGGAGAUUACUGUUUACAAGUCGAGAUGCAAGUUUGAAGAUUUUGAACAAGUUUUGAUAAUUUGGUCAUCAUUUUGCUAGGACAGUUUGGCAAAGUAUUUCAUUAAUUAUAUACUUAGAUAUGUUAGUUGUGUAAAAGAUAUCAUGAUUAUAAUUUUAAAAAGAAUUUGACAUGUAUGUGUGAUACUAACUAAUCGUUAGUUUAAUUAAUAUGAUUGAUGAUUUUGU
Long non-coding RNA from Solanum pennellii, 2487 nucleotides. RefSeq lists it as uncharacterized. The record is from RefSeq and is a predicted model, not a curated record. Lineage: Eukaryota; Viridiplantae; Streptophyta; Magnoliopsida; Solanales; Solanaceae. The transcript is spliced from 2 exons.